UUCACACAUUCUGAGAACAGUUUAAGUUUCUAAGUAAGGUUGAUUUCUUUAUAACACACACACACACAUAAUGAAACUAACGUUCAAUACAAUAUUUAAUAUAUUGAUGCUAAUGUUUGUCUUAUUUACAGCAAAAACAGUGGCUAAAAGUACAGGAGAAUUGGCCAACGGUGACCUUUGUUCAUGGAACGAUGGUCGAUGUAGAGAAAAAUGUUCUGCAGAUGAGGAACCAACCGGACAGAAAUGUCCUGGAAAUACGAUGUACUGCUGCGAGAAACGACAGUUGGUCAAUAUGAAGGAGGCCUCAUAUGUUUGAAGAUAUAUUUCACGUUAAUUUGCGGCUGAGCUAUGAAAAAGGCCUUUGAAUAGACAUACCGUCCCCUUCUUUACUGUCGAAUUGUUAUACAAAUUUUAUGUUAAAAAAAUAAAAUUAGUCUAAUCACCAUGAA
Sitodiplosis mosellana (orange wheat blossom midge) is the source of this 449-nucleotide long non-coding RNA. RefSeq lists it as uncharacterized. Lineage: Eukaryota; Metazoa; Arthropoda; Insecta; Diptera; Cecidomyiidae. The record is from RefSeq and is a predicted model, not a curated record. The transcript is spliced from 3 exons.